CAAGUAGGUAGUAAAUCCUGGGGCUCAACCCUUUAAAUAUUAUCUAAACUGCUAAGCUAGAAUAUGAGAGAGGUCGCUGGAAUUCCUAGUGUAGGAGUGAAAUCCGUAGAUAUUAGGAGGAACACCGAUGGCGUAGGCAGGCGACUGGCUCAUUAUUGACGCUAAGGCACGAAAGCGUGGGUAGCAAACGGGAUUAGAUACCCCGGUAGUCCACGCCGUAAACUAUGGAUGCUA
Molecule: ribosomal RNA, 234 nt
Filed under: uncultured Candidatus Saccharibacteria bacterium
Lineage: Bacteria; Candidatus Saccharimonadota
Description: partial 16S ribosomal RNA
Rfam family: Bacterial small subunit ribosomal RNA
Source: RNAcentral